Molecule: ribosomal RNA, 1524 nt
Filed under: Lactobacillus crispatus
Lineage: Bacteria; Bacillati; Bacillota; Bacilli; Lactobacillales; Lactobacillaceae
Description: bacterial SSU rRNA
Rfam family: Bacterial small subunit ribosomal RNA
Source: RNAcentral
GAGUUUGAUCCUGGCUCAGGACGAACGCUGGCGGCGUGCCUAAUACAUGCAAGUCGAGCGAGCGGAACUAACAGAUUUACUUCGGUAAUGACGUUAGGAAAGCGAGCGGCGGAUGGGUGAGUAACACGUGGGGAACCUGCCCCAUAGUCUGGGAUACCACUUGGAAACAGGUGCUAAUACCGGAUAAGAAAGCAGAUCGCAUGAUCAGCUUUUAAAAGGCGGCGUAAGCUGUCGCUAUGGGAUGGCCCCGCGGUGCAUUAGCUAGUUGGUAAGGUAAAGGCUUACCAAGGCGAUGAUGCAUAGCCGAGUUGAGAGACUGAUCGGCCACAUUGGGACUGAGACACGGCCCAAACUCCUACGGGAGGCAGCAGUAGGGAAUCUUCCACAAUGGACGCAAGUCUGAUGGAGCAACGCCGCGUGAGUGAAGAAGGUUUUCGGAUCGUAAAGCUCUGUUGUUGGUGAAGAAGGAUAGAGGUAGUAACUGGCCUUUAUUUGACGGUAAUCAACCAGAAAGUCACGGCUAACUACGUGCCAGCAGCCGCGGUAAUACGUAGGUGGCAAGCGUUGUCCGGAUUUAUUGGGCGUAAAGCGAGCGCAGGCGGAAGAAUAAGUCUGAUGUGAAAGCCCUCGGCUUAACCGAGGAACUGCAUCGGAAACUGUUUUUCUUGAGUGCAGAAGAGGAGAGUGGAACUCCAUGUGUAGCGGUGGAAUGCGUAGAUAUAUGGAAGAACACCAGUGGCGAAGGCGGCUCUCUGGUCUGCAACUGACGCUGAGGCUCGAAAGCAUGGGUAGCGAACAGGAUUAGAUACCCUGGUAGUCCAUGCCGUAAACGAUGAGUGCUAAGUGUUGGGAGGUUUCCGCCUCUCAGUGCUGCAGCUAACGCAUUAAGCACUCCGCCUGGGGAGUACGACCGCAAGGUUGAAACUCAAAGGAAUUGACGGGGGCCCGCACAAGCGGUGGAGCAUGUGGUUUAAUUCGAAGCAACGCGAAGAACCUUACCAGGUCUUGACAUCUAGUGCCAUUUGUAGAGAUACAAAGUUCCCUUCGGGGACGCUAAGACAGGUGGUGCAUGGCUGUCGUCAGCUCGUGUCGUGAGAUGUUGGGUUAAGUCCCGCAACGAGCGCAACCCUUGUUAUUAGUUGCCAGCAUUAAGUUGGGCACUCUAAUGAGACUGCCGGUGACAAACCGGAGGAAGGUGGGGAUGACGUCAAGUCAUCAUGCCCCUUAUGACCUGGGCUACACACGUGCUACAAUGGGCAGUACAACGAGAAGCGAGCCUGCGAAGGCAAGCGAAUCUCUGAAAGCUGUUCUCAGUUCGGACUGCAGUCUGCAACUCGACUGCACGAAGCUGGAAUCGCUAGUAAUCGCGGAUCAGCACGCCGCGGUGAAUACGUUCCCGGGCCUUGUACACACCGCCCGUCACACCAUGGGAGUCUGCAAUGCCCAAAGCCGGUGGCCUAACCUUCGGGAAGGAGCCGUCUAAGGCAGGGCAGAUGACUGGGGUGAAGUCGUAACAAGGUAGCC